This is an RNA transcript of Malania oleifera, 1899 nucleotides long. RefSeq lists it as uncharacterized. The record is from RefSeq and is a predicted model, not a curated record. The transcript has 4 exons. NCBI's taxonomy places the organism in Eukaryota, Viridiplantae, Streptophyta, Magnoliopsida, Santalales, Ximeniaceae.
GUCAGCGAAUCUUACACAAUGACAAUGGUAGCUUCUCUCUAUUUUAUCUCGCUCGGCGCCUCGGCUGUCCUCUUCAGCUCCACCAUGUAUCCAAGAAACGCAACCCCAAUUUCUGAGUUCUCUGGAUACCACACAAAUGAUCAGAGAAAUGGUACCAACACUCAUAAUCCCAAGUUCCAAACCAAUAUAUUUUCAAAAUCUUUUCUUACAAAAUCCAUCCCAAAUCACUUUCUUUACUCAAUCCACCCAAAUCCACCCACUCCAUAAUUCAGUAUCCACAAAUCCAAUCGCCCCCAAAUCAACCCACUUCUUCAAAGCCGGCAACAGUUCAUCUGGCACGAUUACCGACGAUAACAGAGAAGCUGCCAUGCCAACCAUGUCUGAAAUCAUGGAAGCAUCAAAAGCCCAGAACCUCCGCCUUCAGCUCCGAAAGCUCGGACCCUUUUUCAGAAUCACGGCCGAAAGCUUGGAAACAGGGCGAGAGAUCGGGAGAGCCGAGGGGAUGAUAAGGUUGUGGGUGGGAUCUGGGCGAAUUCUUCACUUGGAUUCCAUUAGAUUGCGCGGCGAGACGGUGGGGAUGGAGAGAUCCAUUUUUGGAAUCGGUUUGUUCAUCGGCGCGGUCAUGGUUCGGUAUGGGUAUGACUGUGGUUGCAGGAAAGCAGAGUUGCUGGCUAUCAAUGACUCCGAUCUUUACCAUUCCAAGCUUGUUAGAUUCUACACCCGAGUUGGGUUCAAGGCUGUGCACCAAGUGAGUGGUUCGUCCAUGGGAGACCUUGCCCACAUGUUGGUGUGGGGAGGCAAGGGCACCCGGAUGGAUGCCAGCAUUGAAGAGCUUCUGAUAAAAUGGUGCACCAGGUUAGUACGUUCAAGAUGAAAAAGAAAAAAAAAAAAUCUGAUUGAAGAGGACUAAGAAGAUUAAAAAAAAAAAAUGAAGAAGAAUAGAGGAGAUGAAGAAGAUGGUCAGAGUUUUGCGUGGAUGGUUAAGAGUAAGCACGACAAUCCAAAUAAAGGAGAGCCUGGUGCUUGCAUAGAGAGAGAGAGAGAGAGAGAGAGAACUAGUGAAUUAGAGGAAGACACGAGAGAAAUAGAGAGAGAAGCUGUGACAAGUAGCCGACAGUGUCACUCCAUCGACAGAGAAGGAAGAAGACUGUGUGAUGGCCUGGGGUUUCGUUCAACGGCUGCAUCAACAAAGGCAAUGGUGGCUGGUUGUGCGAAGAAGAAGAUGAAGAACGACAUGCCAUCAGUGGUAGCAAGCUACUCCCGGCGAAUCAGACAAAUGGGAAACGUCUGCUGGUGUUCUGGUGGCAACGAAGAGGCGAGCAACAGUGGUGGAUCAUCGCCGCUAACUACGCUGGUGGUUGGGGAAGCAUUACCUGCAAAGUUCAAUUGCUGGGAACCCUCUAGUUGAGGGAAAAUAAUAUAGGGCUAAUUUUCUUGUUAAAGGAGGAGAAAUGGGAAACAAUAUAAUCUACGAAGAACAACACAUUUUACCACAUUAUCUGAAAGGUAUUCUUUAGAUGGAUAGGUGAGGUCUCGUUUCCGUUCGUCGUUAGUUCAAUUCUAGAGUUUCGUUUGGUGUAUUUUGUUUUGAUUUCGGUUAUAUUUAUGUUUUUAUCUUCUGUGUUAAUUAUUUUUAUUUUUGUUGUCCUAAUUUGGUUGGUUGCUAGUUUUGGAAGGGUUUUUUCUAUACUCUCCCUUUUGUUUUAUCUUGUAACCACAGUAUUCUUUCGUCAAAAGUGAGGGUAUAUUAAAAAUAAAUGAAGGUGCCGCCCUAAAAAAAAUGUAAAAAUUCAAAAAAAUUAAGAAGUCAAGAAUCAAAAAUAGGAAAUUUUCCCAAUGUAUAUAUAGUUUUGAUCUUACUUAACUUUGUGCUUUUACGGAAUUAGAGUUUCUAAUUAA